RNAcentral lists this transfer RNA (72 nucleotides) under Caerostris darwini. RNAcentral's name for it is "tRNA-Ala". It matches the Rfam family "tRNA". From Rfam's summary of the family: Transfer RNA (tRNA) molecules are approximately 80 nucleotides in length. Their secondary structure includes four short double-helical elements and three loops (D, anti-codon, and T loops). Further hydrogen bonds mediate the characteristic L-shaped molecular structure. tRNAs have two regions of fundamental functional importance: the anti-codon, which is responsible for specific mRNA codon recognition, and the 3' end, to which the tRNAs corresponding amino acid is attached (by aminoacyl-tRNA synthetases). tRNAs cope with the degeneracy of the genetic code in two manners: having more than one tRNA (with a specific anti-codon) for a particular amino acid; and 'wobble' base-pairing, i.e. permitting non-standard base-pairing at the 3rd anti-codon position. The record is from RNAcentral. Lineage: Eukaryota; Metazoa; Arthropoda; Arachnida; Araneae; Araneidae.
GGAGAUGUAGCUCAGUGGUAAAGCGUUCGCUUCGCUUGUGAAAGGUCCGGGGUUCAAAUCCCCACUACUCCA